This 359-nucleotide ribosomal RNA is filed under the name Haptophyta environmental samples. RNAcentral describes it as "SSU rRNA". It matches the Rfam family "Eukaryotic small subunit ribosomal RNA", at positions 595 to 957 of the family's 1831-position model. The record is from RNAcentral. Lineage: Eukaryota; Haptophyta.
UAGCGUAUAUUAAAGUUGUUGCAGUUAAAAAGCUCGUAGUCGGAUUUCAGGGCGGGGUGGCCGGUCUGCCGAUGGGUAUGCACUGGUUGGCUCGUUCUUCCUUCUGGGGACUGCGCCUGCUCUUGACUGAGUGGGUGUAGGAAACAGGACUUUUACUUUGAAAAAAUCAGAGUGUUUAAAGCAGGCCAAGAUGCUCUUGCAUGGAUUAGCAUGGGAUAAUGGAAUAGGACUUUGGUGCUAUUUUGUUGGUUUCGAACACCGAAGUAAUGAUUAAUAGGGACAGUCAGGGGCACUCGUAUUCCGUUGAGAGAGGUGAAAUUCUUAGACCAAUGGAAGACGAACUUCUGCGAAAGCAUUUG